Molecule: long non-coding RNA, 215 nt
Organism: Rhagoletis zephyria (snowberry fruit fly)
Lineage: Eukaryota; Metazoa; Arthropoda; Insecta; Diptera; Tephritidae
Source: RefSeq, a predicted model, not a curated record
UGGUUACUUUUUUCAUUUUAUAUUAAUGGCCCUGUUUUGUGUCAAUCUAGCAAAAACCUGCCUCUAACAUGUCUAUAACUGACUAAAACUUAAAGCCUGCUCUAAACUUAAAGAUUGAUUUUAACUAGAAGAGGUUUUAACUUUCGACUAUAACUACGGGCCAAUGUGUUUAAAGACAUUUUUAUCAAAAGACCAUAUCCACAAAUUGUAUGUGU